Molecule: ribosomal RNA, 492 nt
Filed under: uncultured bacterium
Lineage: Bacteria
Description: partial 16S ribosomal RNA
Rfam family: Bacterial small subunit ribosomal RNA
Source: RNAcentral
AGUGAACGCUGGCGGUAGGCCUAACACAUGCAAGUCGAACGGCAGCACAGUAAGAGCUUGCUCUUACGGGUGGCGAGUGGCGGACGGGUGAGGAAUACAUCGGAAUCUACUUUUUCGUGGGGGAUAACGUAGGGAAACUUACUCUAAUACCGCAUACGACCUACGGGUGAAAGCAGGGGAUCUUCUGACCUGUCGCGAUUGAAUGAGCCGAUGUCGGAUUAGCUAGUUGGCGGGGUAAAGGCCCAGCAAGUCGACGAUCCGUAGCCGGUCUGAGAGGAUGGUAAGCCACACUGGAAGUGAGACACGGUCCAGACUCCUACGGGAGGCAGCAGUGGGGAAUAUUGGACAACGGGCGCGAGCAUGACACAGCCAUACCGCGUGGGUGGAGAAGGCGUUCGGGUUGUGAAGCCCUUUUGUUGGGAGAGAAAAGCAGCAGGUUAAUACCCCGCUGUUCUGACGGUAACCAGAGAAUAAGCACCGGCUAACUUCGUG